GAUGAACGCUAGCGGCAGGCCUAAUACAUGCAAGUCGAACGGGCGGUAGCAAUACCGCUAGUGGCGCACGGGUGCGUAACGCGUAACCAACCUGCCCAGAUCUGGGGGAUAGCCCGCCGAAAGGCGGAUUAAUACCGCAUAAACCCACAGUGUGGCAUCACAUAAUGGGUAAAGAUUUAUCGGAUCUGGAUGGGGUUGCGUAGCAUUAGCUAGUUGGCGGGGUAAUGGCCCACCAAGGCGACGAUGCUUAGGGGACCUGAGAGGGUGAUCCCCCACACUGGCACUGAGAUACAGGCCAGACUCCUACGGGAGGCAGCAGUAGGGAAUAUUGGGCAAUGGGCGAGAGCCUGACCCAGCCAUGCCGCGUGCCGGAUGAAGGCCUUCUGGGUUGUAAACGGCUUUUCUCAGGGAAGAAAACGGGGAUGUGUCCUCAACUGACGGUACCUGAGGAAUAAGCACCGGCUAACUCCGUG
Molecule: ribosomal RNA, 473 nt
Filed under: uncultured bacterium
Lineage: Bacteria
Description: partial 16S ribosomal RNA
Rfam family: Bacterial small subunit ribosomal RNA
Source: RNAcentral